CGCUGAGCAGGGACCAGACUCCGCUCGCGCUCCUCGUCCUGAACGCGCUGACUGACUGGAAGGUGUCGCCGCCCCGCGUGCCCCCUGAGGAGGAUGUGCAGGCAGGAGCUCCUUUUCCAGGGCACCCAGUCUCUCCAGAGAGACAGUGAUGGGGACAGAGGGAGGCUGACUCCAGUCAUGUCAGAAACAAGAAGGACCUAGAGACUGCGCUGGAGCCAACACGGAUCUCACACGAUCCCAAGCUCCUGGUGACGACAGUGUUAGGAAAAUAAGUGUAUUAAAUUGUUGGGAUCUAAUUCUCAUGAAAAACUGAAAGA
This 317-nucleotide long non-coding RNA is filed under the name Equus asinus (donkey). RNAcentral describes it as "lncRNA (ENSEASG00005025809.1)". Lineage: Eukaryota; Metazoa; Chordata; Mammalia; Perissodactyla; Equidae. The record is from RNAcentral.